Molecule: non-coding RNA, 1664 nt
Organism: Jatropha curcas
Lineage: Eukaryota; Viridiplantae; Streptophyta; Magnoliopsida; Malpighiales; Euphorbiaceae
Source: RefSeq, a predicted model, not a curated record
CUGAAGAUUUUGAUCAAUCUUUCUUUGCUUUUCGUGUUCUCUAAUGUGACACAAGUGGAUGGUUCUGGGUUCUUCAGCCUUUUAAGAUACAAGUUGAUUAGAAUAAAAUAGUUACUUCAUCUCGAAGUAAUUAAUAGGUCCUUUGUGUGUUGCAUUUAUCCUUAAUUACUGUAAUUAGCUUUCUUAAUCCCCAUCUCUCUCUUUAGCAAGUUGUAUGUUGUGGAUGUAUUACACGUGUCUUUUUGCACAGGGUUAUUUUGAUUUCUCAAUUAGAGAUCCAACGGUUCAUUUUAUAGUGGGCACUAGUUUCAAUUUGCUUGUCCUAUCACAAUGUGUUUUCUCUUUUCAAUACAUUGGUCUCCUCAUUAACCAUUUGUUGAGCUUAGGUUCAAAGAUCAUCCGACGGACAGGAUCCUCUAGGUAGGAUGAUUAAAUGAAUAGAGGCACAGUGAGUCUGUGACUUCUUUUGCUUUCUUUUGUACACAGAAGAGUGUGGGGCUGGUAGGGUAGGGUCCAUUCUAUUCACUGUUGUUCAUGUAAUUGUCAGACCAAAGUUUUUACCUUUUGCCCAUACUUUUAAAGUUAAUUACUCUUAGAAAAAGACUUCGCGUUAAUUUGAAAAUCUUUUUACUGUUUUUUUUUUCUUGUGAUCUGAAAAUAAGUAGAAGAUGCUUUUUGUGGGUUGAUCUAUAUUUUCAAUUAGAAAGCAUUAUUCUUUGAGUUAAGACCACCUAUAGAUCCUUAAUCACUGUAAUUAGUGUUGGUAUUGCUGGGGUUUUCUUUUUUCUUUUUUAUAAAAUUUUCCAGAAGUUGGUUUGAAUGUGGAAGUGUUAUCAUUCUUAUACUAUCUAUGGAGCCAUUAUUUGAAAAGUUGUUCAUAAUUUUAUAGGUUUAUCUUGAGAUCCCUACAAUAAAGUGCUUAGUGUUUCCGUCCUCUUUAUACUUUGGAAUUUUUAUGGUGAGAUUACUCAUUGGUCAUUACACUAUUGUCUCCAUUGUGAUGGACACAUUGGAAAUGGUAAAACUUGUUAUGGGGAAAGAGGAUUUGUUGAGAAAUUAGAUUGUUUCACUUUCACUUUUUAAGGGGUCCAAGGCAAUGCAUUUGCUGGUCUUCUUGUGGACUAACAGAUCGCCCCUUAAUCAAGGUUAAAUGUGAGCUGUAAGGGUGCUUCUUAGUACUAUAUAUGUCUUUAAGGGUAGUAUAAAGUGCAUCUAGAAACAUGGUCUUGAUAGGAAUCCAGAUACUGAAGCUGGUUUUCCUCCAAACCACCUUGAAAUGCAAAACUUUGCCUUAGCUUUUUCCCCACAGGCAUGCACUGCUGGAAGUGGCAACGGUUGGCAAAGAUGCUUAUAGGUCUUUUUUAGAUGCUCAACACGCUUUGCAUUUUAGAAAAACGAACAAGAAUCCGUGAAGGGUUUGUUUAGUGGUUUAACCACAACAAAAAGUUUCGUUCUGUUCUUCCAAAGGAAUUAAGAUCUCAUAAGCUGGAUAGGAAUUUCAAACACAUUUAUGGUUACAGAUAUAUUUGUCUUUAAAAUAUUAAACAUCUUGUCUUGUAUCUUACUGGUUUUCUAGAUUGUGCUUCAUGAAUGUUGGAUUAUAUAAUACUUCAACAACUCAUGUUACUGGGUUCCAAUGAAUAAAAAAUUAUCUUUUGUCUUCA